This is a transfer-messenger RNA of 354 nucleotides. It matches the Rfam family "transfer-messenger RNA". Rfam says of the family: Bacterial tmRNA, also known as 10Sa RNA or SsrA, is named for its dual tRNA and mRNA-like properties. Its role is to liberate the mRNA from a stalled ribosome.
GGGGGCGUCACGGUCUCGACGGGCUGUGCCCAGGCGGAAGAAGCAAGCGGAGUUCCGAGCCCUCCUUAAACGAUCGGAAAACGCAUAAUCGCGAACAGCGACUACGCACUGGCCGCCUAACUUAGGCUGACCACGUCCGCGGGGCAACGGCGCCGGCACGGGCCCGCGGAUGUCAAACAAGACGGCUACCGCUCGCGGGUACCUCGACGCGGACGGAAAAUCGAUCGGGGCAUGCGACCGCGGUAAUCUCGCUCGGAAGAGUACGCGGCCGCGAGAACAAAGUCCGAGCUAAGCUUGUAGAUGCUUCCGUGGGGGUCUUCUCGGACACCGGUUCAACUCCGGUCGCCUCCACCA